This 422-nucleotide long non-coding RNA is filed under the name Carica papaya (papaya). RNAcentral describes it as "long non-coding RNA (CPAP_LNC015822)". The record is from RNAcentral. Lineage: Eukaryota; Viridiplantae; Streptophyta; Magnoliopsida; Brassicales; Caricaceae.
UAGCAAAACAGAAAAAUUCUCGCAGAAAAAUCCCUCGGGGAAAGAGAUCUACCCGCGUGGGAUACUUGCACAAUGUGCGCCCGUGCACACGCGCACAGUUGGCUCGGGAUGUGCGCACAGUGCGCACGUCCCAUCCACACAGGUGGCGCAGGGUCAAACCCUAUCGCGCACAGGCAAGCUGUUUGUGUGCCACUUUGUGCAGGGACAGGCACCGCACACUGUACGCAAGCCGUUUGCACAGUAGGCCUGCGCGGAUAGGCCCCUAUGCGCCUGGGGAACUGCGCAUGCAGUAGGAGGCUUGUGCGCCUGCAGGCUAGUCUACAGCGCGCCAAGCAAGCCACUGUCGCUCCGGGCAAUGCACUAGCGCACCUCGAGUGAUAUAUUGUCGCCGCCGGCAGAGGAGACUCUCCUCUUUCAUUUUU